This 369-nucleotide ribosomal RNA is filed under the name uncultured Parabacteroides sp. RNAcentral's name for it is "bacterial SSU rRNA". It matches the Rfam family "Bacterial small subunit ribosomal RNA", at positions 354 to 718 of the family's 1533-position model. Lineage: Bacteria; Pseudomonadati; Bacteroidota; Bacteroidia; Bacteroidales; Tannerellaceae. The record is from RNAcentral.
UGAGGGAAUAUUGGGUCAAUGGGCGUGAGCCUGAACCAGCCAAGUCGCGUGAGGGAUGAAGGCCCUACGGGUUGUAAACCUCUUUUAUAAGGGAAUAAAGGGCGCCACGUGUGACGCAUUGCAUGUACCUUAUGAAUAAGCAUCGGCUAACUCCGUGCCAGCAGCCGCGGUAAUACGGAGGAUGCGAGCGUUAUCCGGAUUCAUUGGGUUUAAAGGGUGCGUAGGUGGCUUGUUAAGUCAGCGGUGAAAGUCAGUGGCUCAACCAUUGAAUUGCCGUUGAAACUGGCGAGCUUGAGUACGUACGGGGCAGGCGGAAUGCGUGGUGUAGCGGUGAAAUGCAUAGAUAUCACGCAGAACCCCCGAUCGCGA